This 413-nucleotide ribosomal RNA is filed under the name uncultured bacterium. RNAcentral's name for it is "bacterial SSU rRNA". It matches the Rfam family "Bacterial small subunit ribosomal RNA", at positions 505 to 916 of the family's 1533-position model. The record is from RNAcentral.
GUGCCUGCCGCCGCGGUAAUACGUAGGGGGCGAGCGUUGUCCGGAAUUACUGGGCGUAAAGGGUGCGUAGGCGGCCUUUUAAGUCAGAUGUGAAAGACCACGGCUUAACCGUGGGGUUGCAUUUGAAACUGGGGAGCUUGAGUUUCGGAGAGGGUAGUGGAAUUCCCGGUGUAGCGGUGAAAUGCGUAGAUAUCGGGAGGAGCACCAGUGGCGAAGGCGACUACCUGGACGAUAACUGACGCUGAGGCACGAAAGCUAGGGGAGCAAACAGGAUUAGAUACCCUGGUAGUCCUAGCCGUAAACGAUAGGUACUAGGUGUGGGUGGUUUCGAUACCAUCCGUGCCGUAGUUAACGCAUUAAGUACCCCGCCUGGGGAGUACGGGCGCAAGCAUGAAACUCAAAGAAAUUGACGG